Molecule: non-coding RNA, 590 nt
Organism: Betta splendens (Siamese fighting fish)
Lineage: Eukaryota; Metazoa; Chordata; Actinopteri; Anabantiformes; Osphronemidae
Source: the annotation of a RefSeq genome assembly
UGCCAGAGUUUAUAGAGCUCUGAGACAGAGAGCUGAACACUGGAUGACUGACCCCCGUCCUUCAUCACGACCAGACACCAAGAUCCUCCUCAUCAGCACCAUGCGUCUGAUCUCCGUCCUCAUCUGGACUCUGCUCUGCAGCUGCUUCACAGUGUCCAGAGGUCAGGUCACAGUGACUCAACCUGCAGCAGUGAGAACCACAGUGGGACAAACCGUCAGCAUCAGCUGUAGAAUCACCCCAAAGGUUCACACCGGAAUUUACCAUGACCAGGCUUGGUACCAAGAGAAAAACGGAAAAGCUGCUACACUGCUUAUUUAUGGGUCUGUUCAUAAAGCGUCAUGGGCUCCAGAUCGUUUUUCAGGCACAGGAUCAAACUCUGACUUCACUCUGACCAUCAGAAGCGUCCAGGCUGAAGAUACAGCAGUUUAUUACUGUCAGAGCAACCAUUACAUCAACAACCAGCAUCUGUUGACACGGUGAAAAAGCGUCGUACAAAAACCUCCUUCAGCUGCAGAGGAACUGAUGCGAGUCACACUGGUGUAAGUAGUGGUAAACACGUUCAUGUGUAGUUUAAGUAGAAUGACAGAGC